Molecule: long non-coding RNA, 1195 nt
Filed under: Mustela putorius furo (domestic ferret)
Lineage: Eukaryota; Metazoa; Chordata; Mammalia; Carnivora; Mustelidae
Description: lncRNA (ENSMPUG00000028443.1)
Source: RNAcentral
CUGGGAUCAUGACCCGAGCCGAAGGCAGAGGCUUUAAUCAACUGAGCCACCCAGGUGCCCCAAGUCUUAUGAAAGUUAAAUAACCUGUCUCUGGGAGCUGCCAAGGCUGGGGUUAGAGUUCAGUGGUCUGACAGCGGCAACCUGCCUUCUUAGCUGCCUCCGUGUUGGAAAGGCAGGAGUGACUCACUGCGGUAAUUGUUACAAACUGUUGUUGGGCUUGGUCAGGCAGCUUCUGAUGACCAGGUGUGUUUUGCAUCCCGCUUAGGCACCGAACUGGACUAGAAUGGAGGUGAGCUGCUUUGUAGCCCCUGAAGACUGGAAGCAAAGCCAAGAAACUAAGAGGUCCCUUUUGGCCCCGUCCGGGAGACAAAGAGCAUUGCAGUUUCUUCUGAAAUGCAGACACUACUGUGCCACCAAGUUCCUCCUGCAAGUAUCUGAAAUUAUUUCCCAGGAAUAUCACUGCCUGAUUUUUCUAGGUAACAAAUGUUUUUUCCAGGCCUACCCAUUUCCUAAUUCACACAUACGCUUGCAAUGUAAUGAUCCAAAUGACAUGAUCUGAGUACCCCCUGAGGCUUCCUUUGCCGGGUUGGGGGGGAGGUCACUUAAAUAUGUGGUGAGCCAACCCUGUUAUCCAGAAGGCAUUUCGACGCUACCAAGCCAUGUGACUUUGACUCUUUGUAAAAGAUGAUAUUUCAUCCCCCUCACCCCCGUUUCUGUGUUUGGUCCCCAAGCAUCAUUUCCCCACUUCCCUAGGGCACCAGCCUUUCCGGAAAUGCCCUAGCUCUGCAGGCAGCCUCUACCUCCCCGAGAGGUAAGAGGGGGCGCUGAGGCAGGGAGGGCACCUGCACCGGGUGGGCCUGCUGGCUGAGGCCGGGCCGGGUGGAGGGCAGGGGCUGCGGCUGACCGGAGCCGCCCAGCCGCUUGGCCCCCUCCAUGGAGCAGCACCCAGCUCAGGCUCCGGCCCAGGGAGGAGAGGAGGUUGCUAUGCAAAUGCGCGGCGGCCAGCGGCCCCCUUUACCCAGGGGCCCUCUGGUUGCCAAAACAGACCAUUCCCCAGAACAGUCGCCUAGAAACGGGCGCUGUCAUAGCAGCCUCUGCGUGGCAGCGAGCCAGCAGCGCUGCCAGGAGGAGCUGGGUCAGGGUGUUCAGACCUCCUCAGCACCCCCUGCCAGCCCGUCUCCACCUCAGGGAGGGG